Molecule: transfer RNA, 72 nt
Filed under: Camelus bactrianus (Bactrian camel)
Lineage: Eukaryota; Metazoa; Chordata; Mammalia; Artiodactyla; Camelidae
Also listed under: 2 other names
Rfam family: tRNA
About the family: Transfer RNA (tRNA) molecules are approximately 80 nucleotides in length. Their secondary structure includes four short double-helical elements and three loops (D, anti-codon, and T loops). Further hydrogen bonds mediate the characteristic L-shaped molecular structure. tRNAs have two regions of fundamental functional importance: the anti-codon, which is responsible for specific mRNA codon recognition, and the 3' end, to which the tRNAs corresponding amino acid is attached (by aminoacyl-tRNA synthetases). tRNAs cope with the degeneracy of the genetic code in two manners: having more than one tRNA (with a specific anti-codon) for a particular amino acid; and 'wobble' base-pairing, i.e. permitting non-standard base-pairing at the 3rd anti-codon position.
Source: Rfam by way of RNAcentral
GAGGGUGUAGCUCAGUGGUGGAGCACAUGCCUGGCAUGUACAAGGUCCUGGGUUCAAUCUCCAGUGUCUCCA